Molecule: ribosomal RNA, 433 nt
Filed under: uncultured bacterium
Lineage: Bacteria
Description: partial 16S ribosomal RNA
Rfam family: Bacterial small subunit ribosomal RNA
Source: RNAcentral
AACGAACGCUGGCGGCAGGCCUAACACAUGCAAGUCGAGCGAGGACUUCGGUCCUAGCGGCGGACGGGUGAGUAACGCGUGGGAACGUGCCCUUUGCUUCGGAAUAGCCCUGGGAAACUGGGAGUAAUACCGGAUGAGCCCCUUGGGGGAAAGAUUUAUCGGCGAAGGAUCGGCCCGCGUUGGAUUAGGUAGUUGGUGGGGUAAUGGCCUACCAAGCCGACGAUCCAUAGCUGGUUUGAGAGGAUGAUCAGCCACACUGGGACUGAGACACGGCCCAGACUCCUACGGGAGGCAGCAGUGGGGAAUCUUAGACAAUGGGGGAAACCCUGAUCUAGCCAUGCCGCGUGAGCGAUGAAGGCCUUAGGGUUGUAAAGCUCUUUCAGCUGGGAAGAUAAUGACGGUACCAGAAGAAGAAGCCCCGGCUAACUCCGUG